UUUGCGUUAGCGAUUGAAAUGGCAUCCUUUUUUUGCUGCCACAAAUGGCAAAAAAAGAUAUAAUGGAAAGCGCGACCCUUG
This 81-nucleotide small RNA is filed under the name Olleya namhaensis. Its description in RNAcentral is "Flavo-1 RNA". It matches the Rfam family "Flavo-1 RNA". The record is from Rfam by way of RNAcentral. Lineage: Bacteria; Pseudomonadati; Bacteroidota; Flavobacteriia; Flavobacteriales; Flavobacteriaceae.